GAUUAGCGGCCGUUUUCAAUAACCUAUCUAUCCCUAGUUUCGGUUACUAAAGAUAGACAAAUCUAUAUUUUUGUCCUUACUUACGUUCCAAUAACCUAUCGACGGGCAGCAGUUCCUAUCGGAUUUAUCUAUCCAUCGUCGGGAGGACGGAUAGCCUGCUAAAGAUAGAACGCUCAUACAAAUCGUGCUUACUUCCGUUUCAAUAUGAGUUUUAAAUAACUCUCCGGUAGGCGGCGCUAUCUCUAGUAUGGGCAUUCGCUUAUCUGUCAAAAUCGGCCGGUUACAUGUUUAUCUUUCGAAAGUAAAUCGCUAUAAUUUAAUAAUUGUUUCUCUUCAUAUUGGCAUAUUGUAGCAGUGAUGAUAGUGAUAUGGAAUUAUUUCAAAUGAUAAUGGAUUGUGAUGCAGAUAGUGAUAGUGAGGCCGAUAUCAUAUGGUUAGGAAAAUAAAGAUCGUCUGAAUUACAUGGCGAAGAUCAAUAAUUACGAAUUUGACUAUAGAUUUCUGAGCAAAGGUGUUGUGAAUGAAUUGAUUAAUUUAAUGAGACCAUAUUUGAGUGUAACGUCAAAAAGAUUCAAAUAUAGGAGAGGAAUUUAGAAAUAGAAAAAGAGUAUUUUGAAUGUGUAAUUUGUGUGCAAUGCAUCAUUGAUGUUUCAAAAUGUUAUUGCUUGAUGGCCUGGGUCUACUCAUGAUACAACUAUAAUUAACCAUUCCGAUUGAAAAGAUGCAUUGGUGUUUGUAAAAGAAGACUCCCUGUAUAUCAUUGAAAAGUAGAUUAAAACUAGAAAAUAUGCAAGCUGUUAUUAUAGCUGCCAUGCUGCAUAAUAUCGUCAGAAGUAUGAAUUUAGAAGAAUUAGAAUCAGAAAUUUCAGUCGCAGAUACAUUACAGGAAAAUAAUAUAAUUGUUCGUAACAAUUUUUCAAAACUUACAUCUGAAAUACAACUAUGUACUUAUAAAUAAUUGCUUCCAAAGAUAAUUUAUAAAAUAAACUCCAAAGAUAA
Molecule: long non-coding RNA, 999 nt
Organism: Bombyx mori (domestic silkworm)
Lineage: Eukaryota; Metazoa; Arthropoda; Insecta; Lepidoptera; Bombycidae
Exons: 3
Source: RefSeq, a predicted model, not a curated record